UGGGUGUACUGUUCUGCCAUGGGUGU
This 26-nucleotide non-coding RNA is filed under the name Mus musculus (house mouse). The record is from RNAcentral. Lineage: Eukaryota; Metazoa; Chordata; Mammalia; Rodentia; Muridae.